GCGAGCCGCAGUCACCUUCACUGGCUCCAGCUCGAGCAGUGCUGCCAUCCUUGGGCUCAAAGCUUUUGCCCGAGCAGCAGAGGUAUGUAUAGGAAGGCGGCGAAAGCCACGAACUACUGCAAACAUCAACAAGUCAAGGUAGGACGAAGAAGAGAAGGAAAGCCACUAUGAAUCUUAAGGCCACACGGCCCUGGGCUCAAGAACACUUACGUCACUAGAGGGCUGGCAGCGCUAAAAGGCUCCAUUACGACAGUGAGCGGAAUUUUGUUUGACCCUAGAUCUCUUAGGGUGUCGAUGCGGGCUCGCAGCUCGUCAUUGCUGAGCUCUUGUGUCGUUGCUUGAGUCGGAUCUUAAGGUCCCAUGUAAAGAUACAUGGGGUGAGCCCGAGUGGCUGGACUCACGGCUCGAGUCACGUCUUCAAGACUUGCUCCCCGGUCAGCCAGCGGUCGAUCAGGCUCUCCACCGCGUCUAUCAGCCCCCGGGCGUUGCUGGAUGUCUUCUUCAUCGGCUUCCAAGAUCUCUCAGACGCUUGGGUAGCUCAUUGAUGAAGGGCGGCAGAUCUCCCACGAGCCCCGAAGCAUAGAACCAACCCUUAUGCCAGUUGCAGACUGACUUCGCCAAAGCAAUCUUGAAGCAGUCCGAUUCAAGCUGGAGCUGGAGGUUGGCGCCUUCAAGGUCGCGGAUAUCAUCACCAUUCUUCUGGACCUUCACCAGGAAGUAGUAUCAAAACAACUCGAAGUUCGGGUUCGUCCCAAGGAAGCAUUCGCAAAGGGUGAUGAAGUUGGCGAUGUGGAGAAUGGCGUUGGGUGUCAAAUGAUGCAAUUGACACCUGUAGGAGAGCAAAAGUCCACACACAAAGCUGUCCAGCAGGAAAGCCAAACCUCGACAAAAGAACUGUUGGUGCAACACUCGCUUGUACCGGCUGGUGCCAGGAUGGCCACGACCCCCGCCAUCCUCCAUUGAAGUACCUCCCAAGGCAGCAGAAAGUCGUCUUGAACCAACACAGUGGAGAACCACUUGCCUGUGGUCUCGCCUGCCUCCUCGUUGGCGGAAGCGUUGUCCUUCCGCUCGUCAGCGGUGGUGGCCUUGGGAACGGUCCGGCCACGACCUCGACCGCGGUCUCCCUCGCCUCGCACCAUCAGCGUCUCGCUUGGGUGGAGAAUGAAAGAAAGGGAGGGCUCGAGGAGCAAGAGCUUGCGACAAUGGCAGUUCCGACAGGGGAGGGAGAAGUAGUAGCGGGAUCUGCGAGAGGAACAGAGGAAGUGGGGAAUGUCUCUCUCCCCCUUCUUUAUAUCCCACCGGGAAACCCAAGCAACGGCUUCGGUAGGUCGACAUGUGCCCCAUUUCCUUCGCGGUUUCCCACUACGCAGGAUGUGGGCGCGGAGAUCCAGGCAUUAUCAUCAUGAUGCAGCGGUCAAAGCGAAACCGACUGACCAUCUCCCUAUCUUUUGACAGUUAUGACGGGAUGUGACAAAGCGAGUGGCAGCGACGCCUAGGUUCCUAUGGCUAGCAAUAAAUGAUUUGAAGAAGACUUGCCACCGGAAGCCGUUCAGCCAUGAAGCUGCGAAGAUGCGACGCCGGAGGCCAUGCAGCCGUGAAGCCGCAACAUUGCAAAGACGCAGGCCGCAAAGCCGUGAAGGUGAAAGAUGCAAAGCCGCUAGAUCGCGGCACCACAAAAUCAGGAGCUACGAAGCCACAGAGAUGCGUUGCUGGGGGCGCGCGAUAGCCAAGUACAUAGAUUUUGAGGUCGGGCUACCGAGAGCUAGACUGUCUCCAUCACUGAAAAAGAGCCUGCCUGGAUUUCGUUCUCAAGGCAGCAAGACUCCACAACUCCAGACAAGCUCGGUCGCUACUGAUGGUACAAUAUACCGAGGGUGGCCCGUCCACCGGGAAGCUCGAGACUUGGCUGGCUUCAGGGCCCAAGAGGCCUAGCGGCAUCCUUACCUAGCGAUCGGUCCAGGGGUCUAGGCUUGGAGAUAAAAUUUAUCCUUGGCGUGCAAGCCAAGAAGCUCUCACAGUGAGGUCAGUUAGGAUCCCCAUCAACCCUAGCUCUCAUCCCCUUUAUAAGGCGAGGCUAGGGGUAGUUUGAGGCAUCUGUUCCAUUGCUCAGACCUUGGCAGCAUUCAUCAUCCUCCACUUGUAACCCCCUCGCACGAGGUGCUCCCACAUCAAUCCAAAACAAAGCAGGAGUAGGGUAUUACCUCGAUCAUGAGGCCCCGAACCUGGGUAAAACUCCCGUGCGAAUUCCCUUUACUUCCCACUACGGUCUGCACCCUAACUGGGUCACUGACGGUUUUCUGCACCAUCACUGGUACUCUGGUAGUGAGUUGGAAUCUGUUUAAAUCAUUUGGUUUGCGAUAUAUCUCUCUAGGUUCAGUCCAUUAUAUGUACCCUUGAUCCCCGUGUUGGUCUUCUGCGCCUGUCGGUUGCACGAUAUAUUUAGGAGGUUUGGUCCCAUGGGCAAACCUUUGCUCUUUAACUAAGUCAGGUCAGUGCCUUUUCGGUGGUUUGUUCGAUUCAUUUGUGUUGGCCUCCAUGCGUUGGUUGCAGGACUGAAUCUGGUAUGUGGAGAUCAUGUCGAAGGGGUUUUGAAGAAGGUCUGAUUUGAGUUCAUGAGUUCCAUCAUUCAUCAUUUAAUAGGAGGUGGAUUCAGUGUCCUGAUUGAUUCUUAUUGUAGCAGUUGAUCUUGCUUUUGGUAUGUGUGUAUGUUCUUCUUUAGUUACAGUCAAAGAUGAAUCAAAGGCUGGAGAGGUUUGGUUUCUGUUCAUGGCUGAUUUGAUUCGUUACGGUCAACUGUUAUUUUCAUUUGGUCAGAUCUUCUCGAAUGUGGUGUUCAACUACUCAUCAACCUAGAACUUCGUGAUUGUUUGGAUGAUAUAAUCCUUCUCAAUUCAGCUUCUUCAUUUGCACAGUACUCCCUCUGUAAACUAAUAUAAGAGCGUUUAUCCUUAAAAAAAAGAGCGUUUAGAAUACUAAAGUAGUGAUCUAAAUGCUCUUAUAUUGUUUACAGAGGGAGUACAAUUUAGUCCCUGAUUAUUCUUACUUGGAUUGUUGGUGGUUCUCCAGAAAUUGGGAUUAUAUUAUUUGCUGCAUGGCCAUCAUCUUUUUGGUUCGGUUUUGGUGUGGACCAGUUGGUUAUUGGGUGAACAAAUUUCACAAGUAAGGAGUAACAUUUUUCACUCAACCUUGAUAUGAGAAGUGUUAGUUUCAUACUACUGUCCUAUUUGGUUUAGAUAAUUCAGUUCCUCUAUUUGGUGCCAGUUGCCUUCAGUAAAAAAAAUUGUGUUCAAUGCUAGCAAAUAUUAUGCAAUUUAACUAAAAAAAUCAGUUGAUUAAUCUCUUUUCAACCUUAACAUAGAAGAUUGUGAUAUUUUUUUGAUUAAACCUGUGAAGAAAAUUCAGGUUCGUACAAAUUUUUGUGUAGAUACUCUUUGCUGCUUGACCAUGAUCUUUUUUGUUUGGUUUUGGUGUACACUAGUUGGUUAUUGUGGGGACAAAUUUUAUAAAUAACAUUUUACACUCAAACUCGAUUCAGAUAGUUCAGUACCUCUACUUGGUGCAAUUGGACACCAGUACCUUUUUGUGUGUGUUCAAAGCUAGUUAAAACUAUGGAACUUAAAUAUACGAAUCAGUUGAUUAUUCUCUUUCGAACCUUACCUGAGAAAAUUGUGAUUUCUGUUUGGUUUAGCCUGUGAACAAAAUUCAGGUUCCUACAAUUUUAAAUUAAUCUAGUUUCUGGAUGUGAGCUGUAUUGUUUUCAGGUUUUGUACAUGACUUGUAUUAUUGGUCUUGUUAUUUUUUAUGUUGGAAAGGUCUGAUAUUUAGAUUGUUGAUCUGCUUCCUACAGAUCUCUUUGUCACGAAAUGUACUGGUGGUCUUUAAUCUGUUUUGCACAAUGCACAGAUGUUGGUGUCUUACUUUAGUGGAGUGCUAAUCUGAUCAUGCUUGGAAAAGGGAUAUCAUGAUAGGUUUUGUUAGCCUGGGGCUUGUCUGAAACUGUUGUAGUCCUGUAAAUACAAAAGUAAAAAGUGUUGAAUGGGAACAGUAGUAGGUGUCAUUGUCAUCUGGAUUUAUCAGUCUGUAGUGUACACCUGGUAAAAGAUGGUCUGAACUCUGAAGCUAGUAGAAACUACUGGUUCCACAUUUCUUUUCUUGAUUCAGAUAAUUCAGUUCAUUCAUUUCGUAACAUUUUGCCGCUAGUACAAACUACUGAACGUACGCCAUCGCUGCCACGCCCGUGCCGCCCCGCCUCCUCCGACUCCGGCGGCAGGUCGGCGGCAACCGGCGAAGGUCUGACCACGACAGGAACAAAGAUGGAAACUGCACAAUCUCAGAAUAUUAGGUUUUUAAAUGGACGAAAUGGAAUACUUUUUGGAUGGAUAUAGCAUGGCCUACCUGAGAAGGAAGUCUUCAUGUGCGACAGAAAAAGCUGCUUUGUUUGUGCCUUUUGGUUUUGUGGGCUCUUUUGCUGUUGCAGGGACAGAGGCACUAAGCAUCUUACUUUAAAAAUAUAUCUUGUUUGUGCAGUUGCAGGGUUUCGUCCUUCAGUUUUUAACUAUCUGAACUUAGUGCGGAUUUUUGGUCAAAUGACACCCGUAUGACAUAGAUAAUGGCUUCAUUGGAAAAACAUUGUAACCCUGUAUAUGAUUUAUUUUAUAUCCUGCAUGUUCUAAUAUUGACAGUUAUGAGUCGGUGCAGAUUAGUUCAUAAGACGCAGUAUGGAUUAGUGUUAUCUUGAAAGAAUGUGAAAUUGUUAUGCUUUGUACUGCAGGCCAUAGUUGCUGCUCCUUCGAAAAUAACCUUAAUGCUCAAUCGAAGUCCUUCAAGUUAUUGGUUGCCAAUCUGUAAUGUUAAAGAUAAUAAAUAAAAGUUUGGCAUGCUAUUAGAGCUUCAUCCACUUGAAAAAACAUCUGAAACAGAGUCUGUCAAAUAGUAUAGCACCUGUCGAAGGCUAGUUGUGCGCAAGGCAUUUUGCUUUUGUGAGAUUACAUGGGUUAGAAUCUGGCACAUACAGCUUGCCCUUCUGUUCUUCUUGCAUCAACUAGCAGCUCUUGCAACAUCACACAUUUUGAUCACUGUUUGACGUCUAAUUUUACUCCUUCUAUGUUUCGAAAGAAAUCACGGUUCAAUUAGUUUUAGGUCAGGAAUCUAUGAAACAUUUAGACAUUAAUUUAAAGGCUGAUUACGCAAGGCGCUACUCUUUUAUAGACUGGGAGCCUUAUGCAUACCGGAGCACUGCUAACAUGUGUUUUGAUGAUGUUCAUCACUAAACAUUUGACUUUGCAGGCUUGUGGUCAGCUUCACUGGUUUCAAACAAUGGCGGAAUGCUUGGCUUCGAUAUUUGGUACAGAGAAAGACAAGGUCAACUGUCCAUUUUACUUCAAGAUUGGAGCUUUUCUUCAUAGCGAUCACUGUUCUCGCAUCCAUAACAGGCCAACCAUGAACAUGUAUCAGCGCCCUGAUAUGAACCCUGGUCACAUGAUCCUUGGAAAUUAAGCAUCUCUCCCGUGGUGCAGCACCAACUCAGGACUGAGGCUUCUGAUUUUGUUGGCUUACUUGCUAUCUGACAUGGUCGCAGUCUACGCUCUUGGCCAGCUUUCACUGCAUAAAAGUGCUGUGCCUGGAGCUGGAGAAAUGCACAGGUUUUCGUUUUUCUGGAUGCCUUUCCUCCUCAUUCAUCUUGGUGGGCAAGAUACUACCAUCACUGCUUUCUCCAUUGAGGACAAUGAGUUAUGGCUGAGGCACAUGCUCAAUGUACUCACCCAAAUUGGCUUGGCCUUGUACGUGUUUUGGAAGUCAUCGGCACACAUCCAGUUUCUGAUCCCAGCCAUGUUUUUCUUCGUGGCUGGAAUCGUCAAGUAUGUGGAGCGGACAUGAGCUCUGAAGUGCGCAAGCCGAAAUGCCCUUAGGGGUGAUGAUUCUACUUAAUGUGAAAACAAGUCAGUUUCCUGAUCUAGAAGGCAAGCUGAAAUUGGACUAUGUGACAGUUGUGAAGUAUGCUUUAUCUAGCGCACCAGGUGUCAGAAAUCUAUUUGUUGGUCGCAUGCUUGCUAAAAUGGAAGGUCUCGCUAUACCAUGUUGGUUGAUCAAAUUCAAAGGCUUUUGAGGGAAGGGAGGAUGUUCAAGCUAUCUCAUGUUCGUAGGGAACAGAAUGGUGCAAGCCAUUAUCUGGCCUCCUUUGGACGGACAGAAGGUCGCACUGUGGUGUGGUUGGGUUCGGGACCAGGAGACGUCCCUGAUAUUUGUAAGAAUGACUUAUGUCCUGAUUGAUGAAAUAAAAUCUUCCUUUCACCCGCAAAAAAAAAAAAGGAAGGUAACAUACAGAGAACAUUUUACUGCUGAUACUGUUUUUCAAAUACCAGCAGGGCAGCAGAUGGGCAGCAUAUAUUCAAAAUUCUGGAGAUUGAGCUAGGGAUGAUGUAUGACAAUCUGUACACCAAGGCAACUAGGCAAGGGUGGUUUGAACAUGGCUUGGGGCUGUACCCCGUUGUCUCACUCACAUUUCACUGGUAGUUGCUUUUGUGCUCUUCCUUGUGGCCUUGUGGGUAACAAGUAAGGUUUUACAGUGGAGUUAUUGUUGCAAUAACCUAUGCAUUGUUCAUUGGAGUGUUCUGCAUUCAAGUUUGUGCCGACUUCUUGAUGGUGAUGAUGUCUCCAUGUACAUGGGCAUUCUUGGAAUCCUGUAAGUGCCGGAGAGUUGCCCGUGUGGCUUGGUCUGUUUUCAUGAGCCUACAGCCAGAGUCAAGGCCGUGGUGGUCAAAUUCCAUGGGGCAAUACAGUUUUCUCAAUUCCUGUUUCUCUGAGUCUAUCAUGGGGAAAAUGAUGAAUCCGGUAGGAGCCAAGGAGAUCUGGCGCAACUUCUGGCAUACCAAGAACGUUCAGAUCACAGCAGAGAUCAAGAAUGUCAUCUUUGAAACUAAGCAUCAUCCUGGGUUACUUAGCGGUGGUACAAGCCCGUCACCAGGCCUUGGUCCAGCAUUGGACACAAUCCCUCGGGGACUAGCCGCAACAUCACGGAGAAGAGGCGUCAGCUUAUGGAUACACGCAGGGGGAAUAUCUGAAUACAUGAUUUACCAUGGACAUCAGCAACAUAGGCGAUGUACUGAAGGAAGCUUCGGAGAGUGUGGCCAACGCUAGUGCUAUUGGUUGCACAAAGAUAACUACCACGGUGCAUUCGAUCAAUUUUCAAGAAGCUGUUCAGAGAAGAUAUAUCCUUAAAGGCCCAUACCAACUCUGUCACCGUUAUUUUCUGGUAGGGGAAUGCCAAUUGAAAAACGCUUAGUCAGCAUUAGUUGAUACUGUUGGUGCAAUCGGAUUGAAUGUAGUUUUUAAAAGGAUGGCACAUAUUUGCUUUGUCUGUUAUUUGUUUAAAAAGAAGGGGAGAAUUGUGAGGGCUGGAAGUUCUGCUAGAGGAUAUCAAAUGAAAUAGAUUUGACUUCUUUGAAAGUCAUGUGGGCGGUAUAGCAAAUUUUCAUAAUCGGGCUCAAGAGAAAUGCAACUAGUUUGUUAAACUCAGAACAUCAAUCCUCAGCUUGUUUAAGCGACCUAAUCAGAUCAAACUCCUUGGAGUCCCACAAAGCCACAAUAAGUCAUAAACAUAAGAAGAAAA
This is a long non-coding RNA of Aegilops tauschii subsp. strangulata, 7609 nucleotides long. RefSeq lists it as uncharacterized. The record is from RefSeq and is a predicted model, not a curated record. NCBI's taxonomy places the organism in Eukaryota, Viridiplantae, Streptophyta, Magnoliopsida, Poales, Poaceae.